Molecule: long non-coding RNA, 278 nt
Filed under: Medicago truncatula (barrel medic)
Lineage: Eukaryota; Viridiplantae; Streptophyta; Magnoliopsida; Fabales; Fabaceae
Description: long non-coding RNA (MTRU_LNC006799)
Source: RNAcentral
UAGUUCUUCUUAUUUUGUUGUUGUCUUCUUCCCCAUCUUCAUUUUCGUCCAAUCCUUCAUUUUCAUUUUCGUUUUCUUCUUCUUUUUCUUUUUUCUUCAAACAAGGCUGGUGUUAAUGCCAAAUAGAGAUUAAGUUGUGAAGUUUGAAAUUAAGAGUGAUACCAUUCUUGAAUCUCCAGUAAAGAGAAGAACCACACACCAUUAAAGCUGAUAUCAUUGCAAACAAAACCAAACUCCAUCUUAACCAUGAUGAUGAUGAAUCAGAUCUCCCUCUUGAC